GCUGGGCAUUGUGGUGCAUGCCUGUAAUCCCAGGAACUUGGGAGACUGAGGCAGGAGGAUGGCAAGUUUGAGACUAGCCUUGGCAAUUUAGUGAGACCCCAAGCAACGUAGAGAGACCCUGUUUCAA
Molecule: small RNA, 127 nt
Filed under: Marmota monax (woodchuck)
Lineage: Eukaryota; Metazoa; Chordata; Mammalia; Rodentia; Sciuridae
Source: RNAcentral